This is a long non-coding RNA of Spinacia oleracea (spinach), 1139 nucleotides long. RefSeq lists it as uncharacterized. The record is from RefSeq and is a predicted model, not a curated record. The transcript has 5 exons. NCBI's taxonomy places the organism in Eukaryota, Viridiplantae, Streptophyta, Magnoliopsida, Caryophyllales, Amaranthaceae.
UUGGUUUCCCUCCCCACUGCUUUUCACAAUUUUUAAAACCCUUAGAGGCCUCUGCGAGUCCGCGUUCUUUUUCUCUUUCUACCUCCUCAUCGUUGUUUUUAUCUUCCAGCAUCGUUCCUUGAAGCAAAUUGCGAUUGUAGAUUGACGGUUCUGAAUUGGCUAUUGCGGCUCAAGAUUGGUGAUAUAGAAAGUGGCGAAAUCCAGUUCUGAAUUGGCGAGAAGAAGCACAUUAGUUUGGAUAUUGGUACUACUGCAUUAUCUGGGCCACUUCUGAGAGGACUUGGUCAACUUACAGAGCUGCUAUCAUUUUUUCUUCCCUCACGAAGCACACUGAUCCAAUCAAAACUUUUAAGCUCAACACAUACGCUCCUAUAAAGGAGGGAGUGUGUGGACUGAUUAUGGUGGUUAGGGUGGUGUGGGUGACGUCCUAAUGUCUGCAGCGAUCUGCAAGCUCGCUAAUAGGCCGGCGGAUAUGGCAGAAGCACUAGCUCUGAAAUUUGGCAUGCAGUAUGCAUUCGAUGCGGGCUUCCAUAGCAUUGAAGUGGAACCAGACUGUCUGUUUGGAAGUCGGUGGAAGUAGCCGCGGUGGUUUUUCCGACGAGGAUGGUGUGGGUUUAGUCAAUUUGAUAUUACCACUACUAAGAAUGCUCCUAUUGAACGCCUCAAACGCUGGAGGUGUAAGCAGGCUAAGUCUCAGUAACAUACGUUCAAGUUUGGAUUUGAAAUUGGUGCGGUCGCAGACCUCCAGUAUCACAAAUCAUGACAUACUCUCUUCCUCUUAGGGAAGAUGUUAAGCAGGCACCCCUCUUAAGUGCAGUGGAGGCCACCUACCUAGGCCAUGAGGCUUCUUGAUCAGCCAUUGACCCUGUCAGGAUGGUGCAUAUAGUUAAGAAGUACGAACUACUUUAAAUAUGUGGAGAUUUAUAGGGCACAUAAAUAUUAGACAGGUUUUAAGAAAUAAAGCUAUCGCAUAGUGAUUAUUGCAGGAUUUUUUAAUAAUGGAGGUAGUUUUGGAAGCAAUAUUUUUUUGAACUGUUCAGACAAUUGUAAUAGAUAUAUAUUAUUCUUAUGAAUUUACAAAUUUUUAACUUAUUUGUUAUGAAAAUUUUAUUAUAUGUAGUUCGUAUUUAUUACAGGUA